UCGUUCUGAGUUCUCAAGUGACCAGUCAAUCUCAGCCGUCUAUUGAGCUUAAUCCAACGGGUGGGUUUCAAUCUCAUUAAGAUAUUAAAGGGUCGUUUGGUAUUAUUACAGGUCAAAGACCAAUGGAGUCAUUCUACCAGUCGUCAGAUUCGCUGGAGAUUUCGCCGCGGCGAAGGCUAACUACACCAACGACCACCAAAAUAACACCCUAGAUUCGCUUUUUUCUUCCUCAUUCCAAGUAUCAAAUUGGCUUCCCUCGAAUCUUUACACAUCUCGUCGAAUCUUCAUCAGAAGAUUUUCCGGCCAAGUCGUCGAUUAUGCCAAAUGACCCCAAAAUUACACCCUAGCACCACCCAGACCUACUUUACCCAAUCCCCAUAGCUGCUUGGCUCGAAUAUGACCAGAACUGAUCGAAUUUGAAUUCAAAGGUUUUCCGGCCAAACCCUAAUUUUUAAAAUCUUCACAAUUUCGGACCCUAACACCCCUAAUCAGGUGUUUUCGUAUGAAAACAUAUGAUUGUGGAUGUAACGGGUCAUAAAUUUUGGGUGAUUUGGGCUCAGCUACCGGCCGGAGUUCUUGGAGCCAUCAGUGAGUUUUCUUCCUUUAUCUCUUUCUUUUAUUAUUUCGUUUUCUUCACCUCUGUGUAUUUGCAUGUAUGAGUUUUGGUUUGUUUCGAUUCCGGUGGGUUUGAAGUUUUGGGGUAAACUGGCAGAUUAGUUUGGUUCCAUUAUUUGUUUGGAUUGAUUUUGAUUUUUUGUUAAUUAGAUUAUAUGUGUUUUAGUUGGUUUAAUUUUUGUUAAUGGCUUGGGUCAGCUAUGCAUAGUUAAGUUCAUUAGAUAGUGGGGAUUGGUUUUAACUAUGUAAAAACAGCUGAGUAAAUCUGAAGGGGGGAGGGUUUCAAGAGUAUUAUGGGUAAUUGGUGGUAUGGAAGGGUUAGAGAUAAUACUAGAAUCUUCUAAAUGGGGACCUAUAGGUAGUUUCAGAAUAUAGUGAUAGUUACUUGUUUAGCAAGGCAAUAAGUUGGGGGUAAAAAAUAAUAAUAAAGAGGGUCCUAAGGGGUAAUUUUGAAAAUUUGGUUCAGCUAUACAUACAAGAUGCAUUGCCUUAUGAAGGGGUCUUGGAAUUUUCAGCCUAAAAACUUCAUAUUGAGAUUUUUCCUUUCAUUUUCUUCAAUCUAAGAGUUAGCUUUUGAUUUCAAAAAUAAAAAAAAAAUCCAAAAAAAAAACAAUAGAAAAAUAUCCAGAAAACUUAAAAUUUCAGAAGAUACUGUUUUAUCGAAAGUUUCCAGUUAAUUUUUAAUUUCCAUUUCUGAAUUGCACCAUCUAGUCCAUAAUCUGCUUGUUGAUAUACUCAUGAGUAUCUGGGUUUAUUCUGAGUGGGUUUUGGGUCCAAUUGGAUCUUUUUUGGACCGGUUUUGUUGGUUGUUGGUUCAGAAGUUGAUCCAGGACUAUUCUAAUUCUAUUUGGGUUUAGAGUAUUUGGUUCAUUGUUAGGGUCGUUCAUUUCUGAAAACACCCCUGGGUUGUUCUUUCUGUCUUGAGCUGUGGUUAAUCAUCAAACUGCUGCUGCUGACUCUCGUUUUCUCUUGUUAUUUCACAGUCCAGAUAGACAUCUCCAAAACUCUGUGAUGUGGCUGCAUAGUAAAUGAGAUUAACAUGUUUAAAAUCCACAUAUGUUGAGUAUUGGUAGCUGAUUAAGUGUUAGUUCAUGUGUAUAUAGUUUUAUAUAUUUGAGAUGUGAUGUAAUUCCUUCAUGAUUUGAUAUACAGUCGUUCCAUGAUCUUCACUGAAGUGUUUUUUUACUGUUUCAUUAGUCAUUUGCAUUGUAUUUGAUCCCAUGAUAUGUGUAGAUGAGUUUAUUAUGUAGUAUGUUUAUGGUUGUUAAUUAGUUUUGCUCUUGGUUUAAAACUGGUUUUGGAGGCCACAAGCCUUAUUCCUUGUUAAUAAGUAGACAGUAGUAUGAUGCUACAGUGAAUCAGGGACUGCGUAGAUUGUUAAAAUUGGAAAUUCGAAUUUGUAUUUUAGUUUUAGUUAGUUAUUAGCUUUAACCAGUUAUUAUAUUAUCUCUAUGUAAUCUUCUCUUUCAAAUUAGGAGAAAAACUGAAACAGGAUAUGAAGUUGCAGUAGCUCAUUUUUAGAAUUGAUAAUUGCUUAAAUGUGUCAUUUAGUAAUUGAAAUAGGCACUUGUUAAUUAUGUUGG
RNAcentral lists this long non-coding RNA (2198 nucleotides) under Nicotiana benthamiana. RNAcentral's name for it is "long non-coding RNA (NBEN_LNC023923)". Lineage: Eukaryota; Viridiplantae; Streptophyta; Magnoliopsida; Solanales; Solanaceae. The record is from RNAcentral.